This 76-nucleotide transfer RNA is filed under the name Gottfriedia luciferensis. Its description in RNAcentral is "Bacillus luciferensis tRNA-Arg". It matches the Rfam family "tRNA". Rfam says of the family: Transfer RNA (tRNA) molecules are approximately 80 nucleotides in length. Their secondary structure includes four short double-helical elements and three loops (D, anti-codon, and T loops). The record is from RNAcentral. Lineage: Bacteria; Bacillati; Bacillota; Bacilli; Caryophanales; Bacillaceae. RNAcentral also lists the same sequence under 3 other names.
GCGUUCGUAGCUCAGUGGAUAGAGCAUCGGUUUCCGGUACCGUGUGUCGCAGGUUCGAAUCCUGUCGAGCGCGCUA